This 468-nucleotide ribosomal RNA is filed under the name uncultured bacterium. RNAcentral describes it as "partial 16S ribosomal RNA". It matches the Rfam family "Bacterial small subunit ribosomal RNA", at positions 28 to 507 of the family's 1533-position model. The record is from RNAcentral.
GACGAACGCUGGCGGCGUGCUUAACACAUGCAAGUCGAACGGAAAGGCCCGGCGCUUGUGGGGUGCUCGAUUGGCGAACGGGUGAGUAACACGUGAGUAACCUGUCCUUGUCUGUGUGAUAACAUCAGGAGACAGGGGCGAAUACACGAGAGAAUCUCCUGCAGCGCAGGGUUGGAUGGAGAGAGUCGGCCGUGGGGGAUGGACUCGCGGGUUAUCAGCUGGUUGGUGGGGUAGUGGCUUACCAAGGCUUUGACGGGUAGCCGGCCUGAGAGGGUGACCGGCCACAUUGGGACUGAGGUACGGCCCAGACUCCUACGGGAGGCAGCAGUGGGGAAUAUUGCACGAUGGGCGGAAGCCUGAUGCAGCAACGCCGCGUGCGGGAUGACGGCCUUCGGGUUGUAAACCGCUUUCGCCUGUGACGAAGCGUGAGUGACGGUAAUGGGUAAAGAAGCACCGGCUAACUACGUG